CUUGAUGGACCCGAGCCAGAGCGGCCGCGGGCGGUCUUGGCCGUAGGUCGCCAGAAGCGCCUGGGCCUC
RNAcentral lists this antisense RNA (69 nucleotides) under Actinokineospora cianjurensis. Its description in RNAcentral is "ASpks TB sRNA". It matches the Rfam family "ASpks TB sRNA". The record is from RNAcentral. Lineage: Bacteria; Bacillati; Actinomycetota; Actinomycetes; Pseudonocardiales; Pseudonocardiaceae.